This 164-nucleotide ribosomal RNA is filed under the name Dubautia kalalauensis. RNAcentral's name for it is "5.8S ribosomal RNA". It matches the Rfam family "5.8S ribosomal RNA". From Rfam's summary of the family: 5.8S ribosomal RNA (5.8S rRNA) is a component of the large subunit of the eukaryotic ribosome. It is transcribed by RNA polymerase I as part of the 45S precursor that also contains 18S and 28S rRNA. Lineage: Eukaryota; Viridiplantae; Streptophyta; Magnoliopsida; Asterales; Asteraceae. The record is from RNAcentral.
UAAACGACUCUCGGCAACGGAUAUCUCGGCUCAUGCAUCGAUGAAGAACGUAGCAAAAUGCGAUACUUGGUGUGAAUUGCAGAAUCCCGUGAACCAUCGAGUUUUUGAACGCAAGUUGCGCCCGAAGCCUUCUGGUUGAGGGCACGUCUGCCUGGGCGUCACGA